This is a long non-coding RNA of Symphalangus syndactylus (siamang), 902 nucleotides long. RefSeq lists it as uncharacterized. The record is from RefSeq and is a predicted model, not a curated record. NCBI's taxonomy places the organism in Eukaryota, Metazoa, Chordata, Mammalia, Primates, Hylobatidae.
CGGCUGAUCCUGUGUUUCAUUGAGUGCUUGCUUUCUGCCUCCAGGACCCCAGGGAGACCCAGGCCCGCCAGUACCCAGGGCCUGUGUGUGCAGAGUCCGGGUGUUGGAGGCCGCUGCGGAAGGGCUGGCACGGCGGGCUGGGCCGGGAGCCGCAGCGCCCCAGGCGUGGCGUGCCGAGUCUCAGCAGAGCAGACCGGGCUUGACGGACGCUGGCUCCGAGGAGGCCGGGCGAGCCCUCCAUUUUGGAAAGGCUCGGGAGACGUUGAAAGGAUCUGGCAAGGUUCAGGCCUGCUACAGAGAAUCGUAAAUAUGGUAGUAUGAGCUACUUACACCAUUCGGGCAGCUGUGGGAGAGGAAAAGAGGGAAGACGUCUUUGAUGUUGAUACACUCAUUGAAGGCACUCGUUGACCAGUCGGAUGUGAAGCCUGAGGAGAUUAUCGAUUCUGCCUCUAAGUAUGUUCUCUGUCUGCAUCCCACACUAGCGUGAUGAACACUGACCAGAUGGUUAGUUAUGGAGACGUCCAUCCUUGGAACCCAAAGCCUGCUUUCCAAGUCAGUGUGCUGGAGACUACUGGAGGCCACACCAGGCCCUUGGCUACCUUCUCUAUGGCCUCCAAAAGAGCAGCAGUAGCAGCAGCACCGAAUUUAAGGACCAUGUGAAACCCUGAAUUAACCCUUCAGGAUCUGACCUGGCUGUAGAAGUCUUUGGCUUUCCCAAUCCAAACCCAUCUUAUAGCAUUUGCUGAGUUACCUCACGUCACCAUCAUUCCGCACAGACACGCAAUACAUUCCUUCCAUGGCUACUGUGGCCGAUGCUUUUCCCAAAUGUUUGCUGUAAGCCAAAUAGCCAAGCCCCAGCACUCAUGUGCAGUUUCUGUUUUAAUAUCAGCAGAAUCACUUAA